CUUUUAGUAAUGUUCGCGACGCCAUGUCGAAUUUACCACAUACUUAUUUAUCAUAAUUUUUGAAAAAGAUUUAUCCAAGUUAUAUCAAUAAAUAUAUUAUAAACGUAAAUAUAAUUUAAAACUAUUAUGUUUAAAAACUUUAGGAUAGAUAAUAAAGUGAUUUAUAAAUUUUGUUUUUUAAAUUGUGUCGAAUAUUGUAAUUUAAAAAAAAAAAGUUUAAAUAAUAAUUCAAAUUAAUAAAAAUAUUCAACGAUGAAAUGAGGACUACAAUUGCAACAAGGGAAUCCCGACCUUUUCGGCGAAGUAUCACUGAUCCGGAAGUCGGAAGUCGUGAUCCCUUAGAUAACAGAGAACAUUUUAGUCAAGAUAAUUUGAUGACUGGAGAAUCGAGUUUUCAAAAUCAUCCUGAGAUCACAACAUCCGGACAGAUGCUGACUAACCAGAGUCAGACAAGUAGCAGUAGUAGCAGUAGGAUUAGUAGCAGCAGUACAACGAGCAGCAGAGUUGCUAAGUCCUCACAGAGGAUAUUAACAUCAUCAUCAUCGAGUGAAAUGAAAGCCAGCUCAAUGAAAAACGAUUUAAGUGAGUUAAAACGUGGUAUAUCUGAAAUGAAAAAUAUGUCAACAAAUUUCACAUCAAGACUUCGAAGUAGUAUGGAAAAUCUUGUUGACAGAGAUGGAAACGUUGAUGAGGAAAAUAAUUAUACAGAGCCAUUAGUAACAUUUCCCGAUCCAGAUACACCACCACCAGUGACUGGCACAACAGGUUUAACAGUCAACACUUCAUCUCCAUUAGCAUCACUUAAUUCACGUAAUAGUCUUGAUUUUCCAAAACAUAGUAUGAAACCAACAAUAACAAUGCCACAAAUAUCAAGUAUUGGUGGAUUAACAACUGGCCAAGAAACACUUAAAUAUGAACAAAAAAAAAUGACAAGUGCAUCUAAAACCAAGGUGGUGACUGAUGGUUUUAGUGCUGAAAAAGCAACAGCAAAUAGUGCAGAAAUGCGUGCUCUAAUGACUGGUGAUGUUUCCUACAAAGAACAAACAGCAGCAACAGCAGCAAGAGCUAGAGUUGAAGUAGAUGGUGUUUCAGCUGAAAAAAGUGUUGCAUCAGCUCGAGAAAAAAAAAUAUUGAAGACUGGUGAUUUGGCACAUCAAGAGAGUAACAAUGUGGCAGCAACAAGUAUGAAACUUCAGAGUGAUUCGUUUAGCACUGAAAAGACAGCAAUGGCUGCUCAACAACAACGACAAACAAUGACAUCAUCAGGAAUGUAUAAUCAUGAAAAACAUACAGCAACAUCAUCACAAUCAAGUAUGACAUUUGCAAAAGGUACAACAUCAAAAUCAUCAAUGAUAACGGCAGCAGCAGCAGUUAAUCAAUUAAUGAAUGGUAAUCGUCCUGGUGAUGAAGAAUUAUUAAAUUUAUCACUUGAUGAUUUAGAUCAUUUAUGUUCAAAUUCAAAUCCUCAAGAUGUUGAUAAAGCAAGAGCAAAGUAUUCAAAUUUUUUAGAUUUAUUUGUUGAACGAUUAAAAUCAACAGAUUCAAAUAAUAAUGGUAAAGCACCAUUAUUAUUAAAUAGAGUUAAUGAAAUAAUAAGAAAAGCAUGGGCAGUACCAACAUAUGGUCAUGAACUUGGUUAUACAUUAUGUAAUAUAUUACGUACACGUGGUGGUCUUGAUAUGUUAAUGACAAAUUGUAUUGCAAAUGAUCAUGAAUUACAAUUUUCAUCAGCAAAAUUACUUGAACAAUGUUUAACAACUGAAAAUCGUGUACAUGUUGUUGAAAAUGGUUUAGAAAAAGUUGUUGAAGUUGCAUGUGUUUGCACAAAAAAUCAAAAUUCAGAUUAUUCACGUGUUGGUACUGGUAUACUUGAACAUUUAUUUAAACAUUCAGAAGGUACAUGUAGUGAUGUUAUACGUCUUGGUGGUCUUGAAGCUGUAUUAUUUGAAUGUCGUAAAAAUGAUGUUGAUACAUUACGACAUGUUGCUGGUGCACUUGCUAAUUUAUCAUUAUAUGGUGGUGCUGAAAAUCAAGAAUUUAUGAUUAAAAGAAAAGUACCAGUAUGGUUAUUUCCAUUAGCAUUUCAUCAUGAUGAUAAUAUAAAAUAUUAUGCAUGUCUUGCUAUUGCUGUAUUAGUUGCAAACAAAGAAAUUGAAGCUGCUGUAUUAGAAUCAGGUACAUUGGAUUUAGUUGAGCCAUUUGUAACAUCACAUAAUCCAUAUGAAUUUGCUAAAUCAAAUUUAGCACAUGCACAUGGACAAUCAAAAAAUUGGCUUGAAAGAUUAGUACCAGUAUUAAGUUCAAAACGUGAAGAAGCUAGAAAUUUAGCUGCAUUUCAUUUUUGUAUGGAAGCUGGUAUUAAAAAACAACAAGGUAAUACUGAAAUAUUCCGUGAAAUUGGUGCAAUUGAUGCAUUAAAAAAAGUUGCUAGUUCACCAAAUGCUGUUGCAUCAAAAUAUGCUGCACAAGCAUUACGUUUAAUUGGUGAAGAAGUACCACAUAAAUUAAGUCAACAAGUACCAUUAUGGUCAAGUGAAGAUGUACGUGAAUGGGUUAAACAAAUUGGUUUUGCUGAAUAUGCACAAAAUUUUAUUGAUAGUCGUGUUGAUGGUGAUUUAUUAUUACAAUUAACUGAAUCAAAUUUAAGUGAAGAUAUUGGUUUAACAAAUGGUAUUAAAAGACGUAGAUUUACACGUGAAUUACAAAAUUUAAAAAAAAUGGCUGAUUAUAGUAGUCGUGAUACUGGUAAUUUAAAUACAUUUUUACAACAAAUUGGACAAGAAUUUUCAAUAUAUACAUAUAGUAUGUUAAAUGCUGGUGUUGAUAAAGAUAGUAUUAGAACAAUAUCUGAAGAUCAAUUAACACAAGAAUGUAGUAUUACAAAUUCAAUACAUAGAUUAAGAAUACUUGAAGCUAUUAAAAAUAUAUCAUCAAAUCAAUUUAGUUCAUGUAUCAAUGAAAGUCCAGAUAAAAGUCUUGAUGUAUUUGUUAGUUAUAGAAGAUCAAAUGGUUCACAAUUAGCAUCAUUAUUAAAAGUACAUUUACAAUUACGUGGUUUUUCAGUAUUUAUUGAUGUUGAAAAACUUGAAGCUGGUAAAUUUGAUAAUAAUUUAUUACAAAGUAUAAGACAAGCUAAAAAUUUUUUAUUAGUAUUAACACCAAAAGCAUUAGAUAGAUGUUCAACUGAUAGUGAAUGUAAAGAUUGGGUACAUCGUGAAAUUGUUGCUGCAUUACAAUCACAAUGUAAUAUUAUACCAAUUAUUGAUAACUUUCAAUGGCCAGAACCAGAAGAAUUACCAGAAGAUAUGAGAGCUGUUUGUCAUUUUAAUGGUGUCAGAUGGAUUCAUGAUUAUCAAGAUGCUUGUGUUGAUAAAUUAGAAAGGUUUAUGAGAGGUGAAUUACAACGAAUAGAUUUAAUGAGCAAUAUACCAAGAAGCAUAGCAACAUCAAAAGAUGUUACAACACCAGGUACACCAGGUAGUACAACAAAUAUACGACAACAACCACCAAGUUUUCAACGUAUGCAUAGCAAUGAAAGUCGUGGUAGUGAUAAAGAUUCAACAAAUGGACGAGAUUGACUAGAAGGCCCACUAACAUCAAUUCCAAACAGCACGAGCCACGAAAAAACAUUUAAAGAUACUGAAUAAACAAGUAGUUUAAAAAUAGAUAUAGAAAAACUUCAAGUCCUGGACGUCUAAUAAACAUACCAUUGACAACAGGAAGAAUACAAUUUUAUCAUGGAAAAUCAAGAAGAAAUAGUAUUGUGCCA
RNAcentral lists this unclassified non-coding RNA (3769 nucleotides) under Aphidius gifuensis. Its description in RNAcentral is "nAD(+) hydrolase sarm1, transcript variant X6". Lineage: Eukaryota; Metazoa; Arthropoda; Insecta; Hymenoptera; Braconidae. The record is from RNAcentral.